This 71-nucleotide transfer RNA is filed under the name Ovis aries (sheep). It matches the Rfam family "tRNA". From Rfam's summary of the family: Transfer RNA (tRNA) molecules are approximately 80 nucleotides in length. Their secondary structure includes four short double-helical elements and three loops (D, anti-codon, and T loops). Further hydrogen bonds mediate the characteristic L-shaped molecular structure. tRNAs have two regions of fundamental functional importance: the anti-codon, which is responsible for specific mRNA codon recognition, and the 3' end, to which the tRNAs corresponding amino acid is attached (by aminoacyl-tRNA synthetases). tRNAs cope with the degeneracy of the genetic code in two manners: having more than one tRNA (with a specific anti-codon) for a particular amino acid; and 'wobble' base-pairing, i.e. permitting non-standard base-pairing at the 3rd anti-codon position. Lineage: Eukaryota; Metazoa; Chordata; Mammalia; Artiodactyla; Bovidae. The record is from Rfam by way of RNAcentral.
CCCUGGUGGGCCAGAUUGUAAAGCAUCUGCCUAUAACGCAGGAGACCCAGGUUUGAUCCCUGGAUCGGGAA